UAGAUCGGUGAAACUGAGCUAAGGC
This 25-nucleotide non-coding RNA is filed under the name Mus musculus (house mouse). Lineage: Eukaryota; Metazoa; Chordata; Mammalia; Rodentia; Muridae. The record is from RNAcentral.